UACGUAGGGAGCGAGCGUUGUCCGGAAUUACUGGGUGUAAAGGGAGCGUAGGCGGGACGGCAAGUCAGAUGUGAAAACUAUGGGCUCAACCCAUAGACUGCAUUUGAAACUGUUGUUCUUGAGUGAGGUAGAGGUAAGCGGAAUUCCUGGUGUAGCGGUGAAAUGCGUAGAGAUCAGGAGGAACAUCGGUGGCGAAGGCGGCUUACUGGGCCUUUACUGACGCUGAGGCUCGAAAGCGUGGGGAGCAAACAGG
This 253-nucleotide ribosomal RNA is filed under the name Ruminococcus callidus. RNAcentral's name for it is "partial 16S ribosomal RNA". It matches the Rfam family "Bacterial small subunit ribosomal RNA", at positions 524 to 776 of the family's 1533-position model. The record is from RNAcentral. Lineage: Bacteria; Bacillati; Bacillota; Clostridia; Eubacteriales; Oscillospiraceae.